RNAcentral lists this unclassified non-coding RNA (284 nucleotides) under Hevea brasiliensis (rubber tree). The record is from RNAcentral. Lineage: Eukaryota; Viridiplantae; Streptophyta; Magnoliopsida; Malpighiales; Euphorbiaceae.
AGAAAUCAUGCCUACUUCCCCCCUUGCACUUGAGACACUUCUAACAGACUAUGAAUGCAGCAAAUAUUGGUGAAUUGUGGACGUACAUCUAUCAGCUCAUGUUGAAUGAGGUUUCUGCAACCAAUAUUGUUUUGGAAAGGACCUCACAAGGUUUACUGAGAUCAAUGAACUUUCUACGUUGCUCGCACCUACCAUUUUUGGUGCACUUAAGUUCUAUAGUCGCCUGAAAUUUUGGUCAACCUGUAAUUUAUUCAAUUAUUGUGAAUAAAAUGUGUUAUAAGCUU